CCUACGGGUGGCUGCAGUGGGGAAUAUUGGACAAUGGGCGAAAGCCUGAUCCAGCCAUGCCGCGUGUGUGAAGAAGGCCUUCGGGUUGUAAAGCACUUUCAGUGGGGAAGAAAGCCUUGGGGCUAAUACCCUCGAGGAAGGACAUCACCCACAGAAGAAGCACCGGCUAACUCCGUGCCAGCAGCCGCGGUAAUACGGAGGGUGCGAGCGUUAAUCGGAAUUACUGGGCGUAAAGCGCGCGUAGGCGGUCUGAUAAGCCGGUUGUGAAAGCCCCGGGCUCAACCUGGGAACGGCAUCCGGAACUGUCAGGCUAGAGUGCAGGAGAGGAAGGUAGAAUUCCCGGUGUAGCGGUGAAAUGCGUAGAGAUCGGGAGGAAUACCAGUGGCGAAGGCGGCCUUCUGGACUGACACUGACGCUGAGGUGCGAAAGCGUGGGUAGCAAACAGGACUAGAUACCCGGGUAGUC
Molecule: ribosomal RNA, 465 nt
Filed under: Vreelandella stevensii
Lineage: Bacteria; Pseudomonadati; Pseudomonadota; Gammaproteobacteria; Oceanospirillales; Halomonadaceae
Description: partial 16S ribosomal RNA
Rfam family: Bacterial small subunit ribosomal RNA
Source: RNAcentral